UACGAAGGGGGCUAGCGUUGUUCGGAAUUACUGGGCGUAAAGCGCGUGUAGGCGGUUGUUCAAGUCAGGUGUGAAAGCCUUGAGCUCAACUCAAGAAAUGCACUUGAUACUGGAUGACUAGAGGACCGGAGAGGAUAGUGGAAUUCCCAGUGUAGUGGUGAAAUACGUAGAGAUUGGGAAGAACACCAGUGGCGAAGGCAGCUCGCUGGGACGUUACUGACGCUGAGACGCGAAAGCGUGGGGAGCAAACAGG
This 253-nucleotide ribosomal RNA is filed under the name uncultured bacterium. RNAcentral describes it as "partial 16S ribosomal RNA". It matches the Rfam family "Bacterial small subunit ribosomal RNA", at positions 524 to 776 of the family's 1533-position model. The record is from RNAcentral.